UGGCAUACCUCUUCAGUCUUGUGUCAAUGCUUGUAUUGCAUUGAAUGCACGGUGGGUUUCUUGUGUUGCAUGCCUAAUUAAUGGUAUCGCUUGAUGAAUUGGUAUUCCUUUCGUCUUGUGUCGCCUAUGCGAUGUGUGAUGAACCUUGAAGCAACCUUUGUGAUCCACUCUUUUGAUGCAUACGCAUUGAUUUUGUGGCCCAUUGAGUGUUGCUUGGUCUCAUGGAUAUGGAACCUGGUGUGGGCAUGGAAUCUUACUGGUUCCUUGUUUGUCCAAGUUUAGCUUUUCUAAAACGAUUGUCUAUCAUGUGUUAACGUGGUAGACAGCUUCGAAUAUGAAUGCUACCUGGUUGAUCCUGCCAGUAGUCAUAUGCUUGUCUCAAAGAUUAAGCCAU
Molecule: unclassified non-coding RNA, 394 nt
Filed under: Anaphalis nepalensis
Lineage: Eukaryota; Viridiplantae; Streptophyta; Magnoliopsida; Asterales; Asteraceae
Description: partial external transcribed spacer
Rfam family: Eukaryotic small subunit ribosomal RNA (bases 343-394)
Source: RNAcentral